This 350-nucleotide unclassified non-coding RNA is filed under the name soil metagenome. Its description in RNAcentral is "partial contains 5.8S ribosomal RNA, internal transcribed spacer 2, and large subunit ribosomal RNA". The stretch from base 1 to 120 matches the Rfam family "5.8S ribosomal RNA", at positions 35 to 154 of the family's 154-position model. The record is from RNAcentral.
GAUGAAGAACGUAGCGAAACGCGAUACGUAAUGUGAAUUGCAGAAUUCAGUGAAUCAUCGAGUCUUUGAACGCACAUUGCGCCCCCUGGCAUUCCGGGGGGCAUGCCUGUCCGAGCGUCAUUGCUGCCCUUCAAGCCCGGCUUGUGUGUUGGGUCGUCGUCCCCUCCGGGGGACGGGCCCGAAAGGCAGCGGCGGCACCGCGUCCGGUCCUCGAGCGUAUGGGGCUUUGUCACCCGCUCGAUUAGGGCCGGCCGGGCGCCAGCCGGCGUCUCCAACCUUUUAUUUUACCAGGUUGACCUCGGAUCAGGUAGGGAUACCCGCUGAACUUAAGCAUAUCAAUAAGCGGAGGA